AGACAGUUCGGUCUCUAUCUGUUGUGGGCGUAAGAAGUUUGAGAGGACCUGUCUUUAGUACGAGAGGACCGAGAUGGACUAACCGCUGGUGUAUCAGUUGUGCCGCCAGGUGCAGUGCUGAGUAGCUACGUUGGGCAGAGAUAAGCGCUGAAAGCAUCUAAGUGCGAAACUCCCCUCAAGAUGAGACUUCUUUAAAGGGACGUUGGAGAUGACAACGUUGAUAGGCUGCAGGUGUAAAGGCAGAAAUGUCAUAGCU
Molecule: ribosomal RNA, 256 nt
Filed under: Stygamoeba regulata
Lineage: Eukaryota; Discosea; Stygamoebida
Description: partial Bacterial large subunit ribosomal RNA
Rfam family: Bacterial large subunit ribosomal RNA
Source: RNAcentral